RNAcentral lists this ribosomal RNA (468 nucleotides) under uncultured bacterium. RNAcentral's name for it is "partial 16S ribosomal RNA". It matches the Rfam family "Bacterial small subunit ribosomal RNA", at positions 28 to 507 of the family's 1533-position model. The record is from RNAcentral.
GAUGAACGCUGGCGGCGUGCCUAAUACAUGCAAGUCGAACGGAAAGACGCGGAGCUUGCGGCUCUGACGUUAGGGGAGGACGGGUGAAUCACGCGAGGAUCACCUACUUGUAAGUGGGAGAACACUAGGAGAAAGGGGCUAUAAUACGAGAGGAUCUAUUGAAGCAUGGUGGGGGUUGGUAAGAGUCGGUGGUGGGGGAUGGACUCGCGGCUUAUCAGCUUGAUGGGGGGGUAGGGGCUGACCAAGGCUUUGACGGGUAGCCGGCCUGAGAGGGUGACCGGCCACAUUGGGACUGAGAUACGGCCCAGACUCCUACGGGAGGCAGCAGUGGGGAAUAUUGCACAAUGGGCGGAAGCCUGAUGCAGCAACGCCGCGUGCGGGAUGACGUCCUUCGGGUUGUAAACCGCUUUCGCCUGUGACGAAGCGUGAGUGACGGUAAUGGGUAAAGAAGCACCGGCUAACUACGUG